UACAGAGACUGCAAGCGUUGUUCGGAUUCAUUGGGCGUAAAGGGUCCGUAGGCGGUGUGGCAAGUCGGGAGUGAAAUCUCUGGGCUUAACCCAGAGGCUGCUUCCGAAACUGCCAUGCUGGAGUGUGGGAGAGGCGAGUGGAAUUGCAGGUGUAGCGGUGAAAUGCGUAGAUAUCUGCAGGAACACCCGUGGCGAAGGCGGCUCGCUGGACCACAACUGACGCUGAGGGACGAAAGCUAGGGGAGCAAACAGG
Molecule: ribosomal RNA, 253 nt
Filed under: uncultured bacterium
Lineage: Bacteria
Description: partial 16S ribosomal RNA
Rfam family: Bacterial small subunit ribosomal RNA
Source: RNAcentral